This 194-nucleotide ribosomal RNA is filed under the name uncultured bacterium. Its description in RNAcentral is "partial 16S ribosomal RNA". It matches the Rfam family "Bacterial small subunit ribosomal RNA", at positions 328 to 538 of the family's 1533-position model. The record is from RNAcentral.
ACGCUCGACACCUACGGGAGGUAGCAGUGGGGAAUAUUGCACAAUGGGGGAAACCCUGAUGCAGCGACGCCGCGUGGAGGAAGAAGGUCUUCGGAUUGUAAACUCCUGUUGUUGGGGAAAAAGAGGAUGGUACCCAACAAGGAAGUGACGGCUAACUACGUGCCAANNCGCGUAGUAUGNGNGGCGUGNGAGAG